RNAcentral lists this ribosomal RNA (433 nucleotides) under uncultured bacterium. RNAcentral's name for it is "partial 16S ribosomal RNA". It matches the Rfam family "Bacterial small subunit ribosomal RNA", at positions 29 to 507 of the family's 1533-position model. The record is from RNAcentral.
AACGAACGCUGGCGGCAUGCCUAACACAUGCAAGUCGAACGAGACCUUCGGGUCUAGUGGCGCACGGGUGCGUAACGGGUGGGAACCUGCCCUUAGGUUCGGCAUACCUCCCCGAAAGGGGUGCUAAUACCGGAUCAUGUCUUCGGACCAAAGAUUUAUCGCGUUUGGAUGGGCCGGCGUUGGAUUAGCUAGUUGGUAGGGUAAAAGCCUACGACGGCGACAAUCCAUAGCUUGUCUGAGAGGAUGCUCAGCCACACUGGGACUGAGACACGGCCCAGACUCCUACGGGAAGCAGCAGUGGGGGAUAGUGGACAGUGGGCGGAAGCCUGAUCCAGCAAUGCCGCUUGAGUGAUGAAGGCCGUAGGGUUGUAAAGCGCUUGUACCCGUGAUGAUAAUGACAGUACCGGGAGAAUAAGCUCCGGCUAACUCCGUG